This 439-nucleotide ribosomal RNA is filed under the name uncultured bacterium. RNAcentral's name for it is "partial 16S ribosomal RNA". It matches the Rfam family "Bacterial small subunit ribosomal RNA", at positions 339 to 795 of the family's 1533-position model. The record is from RNAcentral.
CUACGGGUGGCUGCAGUGGGGAAUAUUGCACAAUGGAGGAAACUCUGAUGCAGCAACGCCGCGUGGAGGAUGACACUUUUCGGAGCGUAAACUCCUUUUAUAUAGGAAGAUAAUGACGGUACUAUAUGAAUAAGCACCGGCUAACUCCGUGCCAGCAGCCGCGGUAAUACGGAGGGUGCAAGCGUUACUCGGAAUCACUGGGCGUAAAGAGCGUGUAGGCGGGUUAAUAAGUCAGAAGUGAAAUCCUAUGGCUCAACCAUAGAACUGCUUUUGAAACUGUUAACCUAGAGUGUGGGAGAGGUAGAUGGAAUUUCUGGUGUAGGGAUAAAAUCCGUAGAGAUCAGAAGGAAUACCGAUUGCGAAGGCGAUCUGCUAGAACAUAACUGACGCUGAGACGCGAAAGCGUGGGGAGCAAACAGGAUUAGAUACCCCGGUAGUC